GACGAACACUGGCGGCGUGCUUAACACAUGCAAGUCGAACGGAAAGGCCCUGCUUUUGUGGGGUGCUCGAGUGGCGAACGGGUGAGUAACACGUGAGUAACCUGCCCUUGACUUUGGGAUAACUUCAGGAAACUGGGGCUAAUACCGGAUAGGAGCUCCUGCUGCAUGGUGGGGGUUGGAAAGUUUCGGCGGUUGGGGAUGGACUCGCGGCUUAUCAGCUUGUUGGUGGGGUAGUGGCUUACCAAGGCUUUGACGGGUAGCCGGCCUGAGAGGGUGACCGGCCACAUUGGGACUGAGCUACGGCCCAGACUCCUACGGGAGGCAGCAGUGGGGAAUAUUGCACAAUGGGCGGAAGCCUGAUGCAGCAACGCCGCGUGCGGGAUGACGGCCUUCGGGUUGUAAACCGCUUUCGCCUGUGACGAAGCGUGAGUGACGGUAAUGGGUAAAGAAGCACCGGCUAACUACGUG
This 468-nucleotide ribosomal RNA is filed under the name uncultured bacterium. Its description in RNAcentral is "partial 16S ribosomal RNA". It matches the Rfam family "Bacterial small subunit ribosomal RNA", at positions 28 to 507 of the family's 1533-position model. The record is from RNAcentral.